This 587-nucleotide ribosomal RNA is filed under the name uncultured fungus. Its description in RNAcentral is "eukaryotic LSU rRNA". The stretch from base 204 to 349 matches the Rfam family "5.8S ribosomal RNA". The record is from RNAcentral. Lineage: Eukaryota; Fungi.
UCCGUAGGUGAACCUGCGGAAGGAUCAUUCUUGUAUACCUGGUUAGGCGUAAGCCAAACCAAACCAUGUGUGAAUCAGUGUUCUCUUCCCGGCGGAAGCUUUUGCGCUCUGGGCUUGCCUGGACGCUUAGGCGACGGCUGGGGUUUUGCCUCGCAAGAGGUCAAUCAUGUUGACUAGCAGGGAACUCAAAAGUAACAAAUUACAACUUUUAACGAUGGAUCUCUUGGCUCUCACACCGAUGAAGAACGCAGCAAACUGCGAUAAGCAAUGCGAAACGCAGUUGUUCGUGAGUCAUCCGGUAUUCGAACGCACAUGGCAGGUCCUCGGACCUACGUCUGGUUGAGGGUCUUUAUUACUCCAUUUCUAUGGGAUGUGAGUGGGCGCUUGGCUCACUUGAAAGGCAAGGUGACUUGCACCGUAACCGUUUGGUGGACAAUCGAGCGGGAUUAGGUGGCGAGCGAUGGCUGGCAGGCAGUUAUCAUUUCAACUUUGACCUCAACUCAGACGAGACUACCCGCUGAACUUAAGCAUAUCAAUAAGCGGAGGGAAGUCGGACUGGCCAAGGGGCACACCAGGGGGGGGGGAUA